RNAcentral lists this ribosomal RNA (490 nucleotides) under uncultured bacterium. Its description in RNAcentral is "partial 16S ribosomal RNA". It matches the Rfam family "Bacterial small subunit ribosomal RNA", at positions 30 to 507 of the family's 1533-position model. The record is from RNAcentral.
AUUGAACGCUGGCGGCAGGCCUAACACAUGCAAGUCGAACGGUAACAGGAAGAAGCUUGCUUCUUUGCUGACGAGUGGCGGACGGGUGAGUAAUGUCUGGGAAACUGCCUGAUGGAGGGGGAUAACUACUGGAAACGGUAGCUAAUACCGCAUAACGUCGCAAGACCAAAAAGGGGGACCUUCGGGCCUCUUGCCAUCGGAUGUGCCCAGAUGGGAUUAGCUAGUAGGUGGGGUAACGGCUCACCUAGGCGUCGAUCCCUAGCUGGUCUGAGAGGAUGACCAGCCACACUGGAACUGAGACACGGUCCAGACUCCUACGGGAGGCAGCAGUGGGGAAUAUUGCACAAUGGGCGCAAGCCUGAUGCAGCCAUGCCGCGUGUAUGAAGAAGGCCUUCGGGUUGUAAAGUACUUUCAGCGGGGAGGAAGGGAGUAAAGUUAAUACCUUUGCCCAUUGACGUUACCCGCAGAAGAAGCACCGGCUAACUCCGUG